RNAcentral lists this long non-coding RNA (2210 nucleotides) under Homo sapiens (human). Its description in RNAcentral is "HSALNT0117475". The record is from RNAcentral. Lineage: Eukaryota; Metazoa; Chordata; Mammalia; Primates; Hominidae.
CGGGGAAGAAGGAGGGGCCCGCCCCGUGAGACUGCGGCCAGGUCCUGCCCACGUGCCUGCUCUGCUGGGCUUGCAGCCAGGCCACCUCCCUGGCCCGGACCCCUCAGGGCCUCUGGACAGGGGCUGCAGGCUGCCUCUGGACUCUGCUCCUGGACUGGCCUCUGCUGGACGGCGGCGCCCUGCACCUCAACAGCCAGCCACACCAGGCAUGGCCGUCACCUACAGGUGAAGCUACAAAUUUAACCUCAUAUAAGGGAAUAUAACCAUGGCCAAGGAGCGAGGCAAGGCUUUUUAAACAACAUGUCAACAGCACAAAUCAGAGGCAAGUGAGAACCAAGUUUUAAAAAGAUGAAUGUGGUAUAAUCAGCAUUAAAGUUUCCUGUUCGGUCUGGGACUCCUUGGACCAAGCAUUACUGGGAGGCAACCUGAAUGCCCUCGGUGUGAGCGUGGAAAGAUGGCAGCUUCAAGGCUGGGCUCCGCAGUGGGGCAGGCCCCGCCCUGGACGAGCACGCGGCCACACAGAGGGUCCUCUUGAGCACGGUGACUCCCGUACCCGUAACAGUCAGGCCGAUUCUUCAAGAAAACAUACAAACUAAAAGAUGUCAAACACAGCAAAUUGGCUGCCCAUGGAGAAGGGUGGGAACCAAGAGAGGCACUGGCAGGAAAGGGGACCAGUCGGCUCCUCCCCAAUAGCACAAACAAUAAAGAGGAAAAACACGAUACUAUUUUAGGAAUGGAGGUAAGUACGUGAGUGGAGAUUCCAGCAUCAUUUGAAGAUGACCAGGCAGCCCGCAGCAGUGGGGACCUCAGCGGCCCUCUGUGAACCCAGGGUCCCAAACACGCAUCGGGAGACCCAGCAGUGGAUCCUGACAGGUACAUCACACCUGGAGUGGGAAAUGCCUCUCUCUUCAAGAAGCCGUGAAACCUCUUCUUUAACUUGAACUUAUGUCAAAUCCCAAGAACACUUAGACCAUAUUCUCCAGCCAAAAUCCACAAAAGGAAGAAAAUAAUAGCAAUUGUAGAAGCAGAAACCCUAACAUCCUGAAUAACAAGUAAGCAAACAAAAUGCCUCUUGAACAAUUCUUGGGUCAAGUGGGACAACAGAGUCCAAAUUUCAGAACCACCACAAAUAACAAUUAUGGAAUAUGAUCUAUCAGAACCCGAACAAUGUGACUAAAACUGUCUCAGAGAAAAAUUCACAGCGAUAACAAUUACGUUAGCAACAACCAAAUACAAACAAGUAAAUUAUUCAUUCAACUGACAAAAUUAGACUCAAGAAAAUAAAAAGAACAGGAUAAAUGUAAGAACCAAGAAGAAGAAAAUAAGAUGGUAAAAGUGUGUGAUUUGAAGCAGGAGACUCAAAAGCGUGCUCGUGUGGUGGGCCUUUGAAAUUCACCAGUGAAUAAGCCUGUGUCUACCCUAAUUCAGGAACUGUGAGGACGGCAUGGACACACACGUGCACACGAGUCUAACGACAUGGGAAACAGUUACGACAGAAGCACACACAAGUGCAUAAUUUACAGAUUCCAUGCAAAUACUUUAAAUUCUAAAUAAUAUGGGUGAUUAUCCCAGGCAAAUAUGAAUUGCCCCAACUAACCAAAAGGAAACAGAAAAGUAAGCAGACUAUUAUUAACCGCAGAAGAAAUUGAGAAAUCUAUUAAAACCCAGCCCACUCACCUCCGAAAUUCUACGCCCAGAUAAAUCACAAAUUCACUAAUUCAAAAUGCUGGUGCACCAAUCUUUACAAUAUGAUUAAAAUUUCCUAUUCAUGAGCAUAAAGAAAGAAAACCCUGUGUUCUUCUUAGGAUUCCAGCAUAAUAUUUGCACCAAAACAUUGAAAAGUUGCACAUACACAUGAAAUGAAACAUACCAGCUAUGGUAAUAACGUCCUCACACAUUACUUCAUGUGGCAGAUUAAAGACUCACACGUGUAACGACCACCUCUCGGCUUCAGUUGAGGUUUCCAAGCACUUUAAAACAAGUUCAGUAUUAGGAAAUCUACCAAUAUAAUUCAAUGAAAUAAUACAUCACAAAACAACCACUUCACCAGGGCAGGAAAGGCAGACAGCGUGAGCCACAGAGCAGCCAGCCAUGACGGAACCAUGUGCCAUCACACUUCUGCCCCUGGGGGACCCCGGAACCCCAGAAAUCAACCCUAAACCAGGCCCACCCAUCCCAGCAGCACCCAGGGAGGCCUGGACGGUCACCAC